AGUGAACGCUGGCGGCAGGCCUAACACAUGCAAGUCGAACGGCAGCGGGUCAGUAGCAAUACUGAUGCCGGCGAGUGGCGGACGGGUGAGGAAUACAUCGGAAUCUACCUUGUCGUGGGGGAUAACGUAGGGAAACUUACGCUAAUACCGCAUACGAACUAUGGUUGAAAGCGGCGGACCGCAAGGCGUCGCGCGAUUGGAUGAGCCGAUGUCCGAUUAGCUAGUUGGCGGGGUAAAGGCCCACCAAGGCGACGAUCGGUAGCUGGUCUGAGAGGAUGAUCAGCCACACUGGAACUGAGACACGGUCCAGACUCCUACGGGAGGCAGCAGUGGGGAAUAUUGGACAAAUGGGCGCAAGCCUGAUCCAGCCAUGCCGCGUGUGUGAAGAAGGCCUCGGGUUGUUAAAGGUACGAACUUUUGUUUAGGGGUAAGGAAAAAGGAACGAACCUA
This 450-nucleotide ribosomal RNA is filed under the name uncultured bacterium. Its description in RNAcentral is "bacterial SSU rRNA". It matches the Rfam family "Bacterial small subunit ribosomal RNA", at positions 29 to 468 of the family's 1533-position model. The record is from RNAcentral.